This is a long non-coding RNA of Loxodonta africana (African savanna elephant), 1711 nucleotides long. RefSeq lists it as uncharacterized. The record is from RefSeq and is a predicted model, not a curated record. The transcript is spliced from 3 exons. Lineage: Eukaryota; Metazoa; Chordata; Mammalia; Proboscidea; Elephantidae.
AUGAGGGCUGGUGGUCCUUGGCUCUGAGUCCUAUGGAGGGAGGAGAGGUAAGGUUGAGAUGGGGGACCUUGGGGAGAAAGGCAGGGGCACCCCAGUCCUGGCCUUUGUCCCAAGAGCAGAAUCCUUCAAGCCCCCCACCCCUGCUGUGGAUUGAGAGACAGAAGAGACCCCUUCCCCUUCCCCUUCCCAGCACCAGUAGCCCUCUUCCCACCUGUGGAAUGAAGUUUGUAGGACAUGGCUGCCUGCUUCUACCCGGGAGCAACCCUGACAGAGAAUGAUGACAAUUCAAGAAGAAGGCAGAGCUGAGCAAUGAAGAUACUGUUGGAGGCCCUGAAGGCACUAUGACCUAACACCACACUUCUCAAUUUCAGGAGCUGCAUCAAGGUCAUCACCUUCUAAUUCACGCAAGUGGAUAUGACCACACCUUGCCUGGUGCUCCUGACUCCUGUUCCCUGUGCCAAAUGCCCCCUAAAUGUUUUUAAUGCUGCGGUGUGAUGGAUCGCUUUUGUGUGGCCAUUCUAGCCAUGAUCUUGUAAGUUCCACCCAACUGAUUCAGCGGGGCUGUGUGAUAGGGUAAUUGUGGCCCACCAAAGGGACUGGUCAGUUUUGCCAUUCUGCUGGGCUUGAAAUGAGCCACCUCAGAAGCAGGAGAGAGAGGAUCCCACCACCACCAAGGACCAACAGCCAGGAGCCAGCAUGUCCUUUGAACCCGGGAUUCCUGCACUGAGAAGCUCCUGGAACCAGGAGACUGAGAGAGAGCUGUAACACUGAAGGCAGCGAGAAUCUGUGGCAGAGACCUGGCAGCAGGAGAUGGCAUGGUGGGCUCCCUAGCCCAAGGAGAGAGAAAGCUGAAUGACUCUGGGCAGAGGCUGAGGGCCAGAGAGAGGUGUGCCUGCGAGCACAGCUCGAAGAGGCUUUCCUGAUGGAAGAACUAUACCCUGAGCUUUCCUGAACCUGAACUGUAACCUGUUACUUCCCUAAUGAACCCCAUACUUGUGAGUGUUGUCUGUGAGUUCUGUGUGGCCAUUGCAAUGAAUUAUCGAACCCAGCAGAGAAGUAGAGUGCCGUGGGAGGGGCAGCUGGUGUCAGAAUUGGUAAAGAUGGCUGAGAAAGGAGGCAUGUCUGACCUUCGCCUCAUAGGAAUCAACCUUGGGCUGUUGGUCUUGAUUCUCCUUCCCCCUUGUGAAGUUAGAGGAGGUCAGACACUGCCCCUGUGCCAUUUUUACAGAUGGUGAUAUACUUUUAUGCAGGCCUGUCUCCUGCUACUGGACUAUGAUCUCCUUGAAGGCAGAGACCACAAGUUUUGCCCAUGCCCAGCACACCGGAGGCAUCUAAUAAAUGCCCAUGGAAUGGAAGAUGAAUUCCUGCCCUCCUCUCCCCUGGGUCUUCAGGAGCCUGGAGAAAUGGGGUGGUAGAAGUGCCUACCCUCCAUCUCUGCUGGUGCCCAAGUGACGUCAUGAAGAAGGUGCUGCCACCCAUCCUGAUGUCCUGAUCCCCAGCUGACCCAUCUCACUGGGCCCAGUCCUGCAAGCCCAGUUGGGCAAGGGUUGGCCAGGGAAAACUGCUUCCAGAUUCCCCCACGCAGCCCCUUACCAGUGCUUGUGGGUGCAGAGAAUGGCAACCAAGGUAACGCCCUCCUUUUCAAUGGAAGCCUGGGAGGGAAAGAGGAGGCAGUAUUCAGACUGAGGAACUGGAAGUGAAGGGAGAGACA